Molecule: long non-coding RNA, 1651 nt
Organism: Clupea harengus (Atlantic herring)
Lineage: Eukaryota; Metazoa; Chordata; Actinopteri; Clupeiformes; Clupeidae
Source: Ensembl
AAAUCAUCCCGGUGAUUGAGCUUGAACCAGUCACAGCACAACUGGAAUUAUGUACUGCCGGAAGCAGCCAGGAAGGCACAGCACAACCAGAAUUAUGUAAUGCCGGAAGCAGCCAGGAAGGCAUCGCCUCUCCAAACAGAUCUUCUCAGUGGCCGGAGGAAUUUGAAAUUCCUAAAUUUCCAGUCGAUGUUGAGUAUAGACUUCGCCAAGCUAACCUGCUAUAUCUCAGGGAUGCAACCCCUCUUCAAGUAACUAAAGAACUUAAGCAUGAAAUUCUCCAGAAACUGGCAGAGACCAUGUAUGCGUUCAAAGCAUACCCAGGAAAAUAAAAUUAUGAAGCUGUUGCCAAAGCCUUGGUGCAAACACACCCGUGCCUUAAAGAGAAAGGGUCCUGUGGCUGGUAUCGAUGGAAGAACAGCAUCACCUUUAAAAUGGGGAAUUAUAGAAGUAAAAUGCGCAAGCUGGGUCGACUUGAUGUCAGUGUCAAUGGUGGUAAACGUGGAAGGCACAGUACUGGUGGUGACCCACCAAACAAAGGCAUCAAGAAGCCAAGGAAAGGUGAAAUCAAUUUCCUGCCUGAUUAUCCAGAAGGGAUGGAAGACCAGAAUCUGGAAGGAAUUCGUCAGAUUCUGGUGAAUGAAAUGAUGAAGACGAAGCCAAAUGCAUCCCUCGUUAAGAAAGAGAUGGAUGUAACAUUUGCCCUCCGCUGAAAGGAAGUUGUCAAUGACGAGCCUGCCAUCAGCCAGAUUGUAGAGCGUUGGCCAGCUCUUUUCACAGAAAGUCAGGUUUAUUAUGAGUUCAGCAGAGUGGUGGGAAGAAAUCUCAGAGAACAUUUCUUUGAUGUGCUUGACCGUUUCUCUCCAAGCCUGAUGGAGCUUUUCAGGAAGAAGACAGGCCUUACUGGUCAGGUUUUGAUUGGGCUGUUACGUCAAACAAAGACCUCUGAGCCAACAGACAUCAGGUGCCUUUGUAUUCGGGGACUGCCUGUCAUCUUGGGAGAUGAUCCUUCUGCCUUCUUCAAGACCUGCACUGUAAGCGAAUGAAUGUGUUGUAAACGUUGCAGCUGAAUGUUCUCUUAUCCCUUUUUUUAUUUUGAACCAUUCAUAAAGACCAUAUACUACUUUUUCAUUCAGUGUUUCACAGACUUUUUAGCCAUACACAUUUUUACCCAAAACUAUUUGAAUAUCUGCAUGACUGUUCAAUGGUGUGAAAAUAACUGAGAAAGCUUGACUAUUAAAAUCAAUAUGUUAAACUAACAUCAAAUAUUUUGCUGUGGCUGUAGAAAUGCAAAGUCAAUCCUUAAGGCCAGGCCUCAUAUCCUGUAUGAGCAGCGCGUCUUUCUUUUUAUGUCUUUCAUUGUACAGUUUAUUCAUUGUAAACAUCUGAAGGCAAUUGCUUGUGGACAACCGACUAUUAUCUAACUAGCAUGAUUGUGGCCUCUCCUUGUCAAUCUUUCCCUCUUAAGAUCCAGCUGACAAAGGGCCUCAUUUAUAAAACGUACUUACGCACAGAUUUGAUCUGAGAGUGUUUGUGCGAUCAAAUCCACGUCUAAGUACAGAUUUAUAAAAACCGUCUUAGACGUAGAAAAGGACGUAUCUCUACGUCUGGUUCUAGUUCGUGUAAGUACAUUUCCUUGUGGCAAUACUGGAGU